Molecule: non-coding RNA, 225 nt
Organism: Nicotiana tabacum (common tobacco)
Lineage: Eukaryota; Viridiplantae; Streptophyta; Magnoliopsida; Solanales; Solanaceae
Source: RefSeq, a predicted model, not a curated record
UAGUGAUUUUCCGUAUGUCUUAAGAGCACAGAUUCUUGACUGGCUAUCCCACAGUCCAACUGAGAUUGAGAGCUUCAUUAGGCCUGGUUGUAUUGUCUUAACAGUAUAUCUGCGGCUUCCUGAGUCUGCAUGGGAGGAGCUUUGUUGUGAUCUGAGCUCCAGUUUGAGUAGGCUUUUGGAUGUCCCUGGCGAUAGUUUCUGGAGAAAAGGAUGGAUUCACAUAAG